This 718-nucleotide ribosomal RNA is filed under the name Firmicutes bacterium SCGC AAA043-A02. Its description in RNAcentral is "bacterial SSU rRNA". It matches the Rfam family "Bacterial small subunit ribosomal RNA", at positions 93 to 831 of the family's 1533-position model. Lineage: Bacteria; Bacillati; Bacillota. The record is from RNAcentral.
UAGUGGCGAACGGCUGAGUAACGCGUAGGUGACCUACCCCGUAGUGUGGAAUAACUGCCCGAAAGGGUAGCUAAUACCGCAUGUUGAGCCGACAUCAAUGUCGUCUCCAAAGCAGAAAUGCGCUAUGGGCGGGGCCUGCGUUCGAUUAGCUAGUUGGUGGGGUAAUGGCUCACCAAGGCGACGAUCGAUAGGUGGUCUGAGAGGACGAUCACCCAGACUGGGACUGAGACACGGCCCAGACUCCUACGGGAGGCAGCAGUCGGGAAUUUUGCGCAAUGGGGGAAACCCUGACGCAGCAAUACCGCGUGUGGGAUGAAGGCCUUCGGGUCGUAAACCACUUUUUUCGGGGACGAUAAUGACGGUACCCGAAGAAUAAGCCACGGCUAACUACGUGCCAGCAGCCGCGGUAAUACGUAGGUGGCAAGCGUUGUCCGGAUUUACUGGGCGUAAAGCGCGCGCAGGCGGUGAAUGAAGUCGAAAGUGAAAGCCCCGGGCUCAACUCGGGAACUGCUUUCGAAACCAGUUCACUUGAAGGCGGAAGAGGGAAGUGGAAUUCCGAGUGUAGUGGUGGAAUGCGUAGAUAUUCGGAAGAACACCAGAGGCGAAGGCGACUUCCUGGUCCGAUCUUGACGCUGAGGCGCGAAAGCUAGGGGAGCAAACGGGAUUAGAUACCCCGGUAGUCCUAGCUGUAAACGAUGGAUACUAGGUGUUGGAGGUU